Molecule: long non-coding RNA, 889 nt
Filed under: Vulpes vulpes (red fox)
Lineage: Eukaryota; Metazoa; Chordata; Mammalia; Carnivora; Canidae
Description: lncRNA (ENSVVUG00000020048.1)
Source: RNAcentral
GGAACCUUGAAAGGUGUUCUAGUCUUUGGAUUAAGCAAAAUCAAAGACCAUGGUGGGAUGAGUGCAUUACAUCAUGUAUGUUGGUGAAGGGAAAGAGCAGUACUUUGGUGCAUCUGUGAUUAUAAUACUUCAAAGUGUCCAAUUCCUAGUCUGUUUUCAAACUUAAUUUGAUAAGGAGCUCCUUCCAUUUCCUGUGUCCAUGAUGAGAGAACCAAAGCUCAGUCAAUGGGCCCCUGUAGCCACUCUGUUUUUCUCUAAUCAUGGUGCAUCUACAUUUCCUCGGGCACUCAAACUGAGCAUGUGUUUUUGGUCUGGGCUGCAUCAUCCUCCCACCCUGCCGCCUCUCCCAAUAAGCAUCCUGUUUCAUCCUUGGCUCUGCUGCUGCUCCAGCCUGAGAAGCUCCCGGCAGGCAUUGGGCCAGUCUCCGGACUGGUGACAGGGUGUGAAUUUGAUUUCUGGAGACAGCCUACAUCCCAGUUAGAGCCCGGCAUGAAGAAUACUAAAAGCAAUAAUGCAGGACAAUAUUGGCCAACAGAAGAACAAUAAUUACAAUCAAAAGUUUGCUGAAGACUUUCUAUAUGCCAGGUCUCAAAGGAGAAGUGGCUUCCGAGACCACCAGGAAGAGAGAGCCUUACCUCUGCUGUUCAUACACACAUGGGAAGUUGAAAAUGGAGAAAUCUUCAGAUCAGAAAUCUUUCCUCAUCUCCAACUUGAGAUGAACCUANUUACCUUUCAGGUCUCAAAGGAGAAGUGGCUUCCGAGACCACCAGGAAGAGAGAACCUUACCUCUGCUGUUCAUACACACAUGGGAAGUUGGAAAUGGAGAAAAUAUCUGUUUUCUGAACAUAGAAAUCUUCAGAAAUCUUUCCUCAUCUCCAACUUGAGAUGA